GAAUGUGUUAUACAUAUUACAGUUGUGCUUCUCUUUUUUAUUUGUCAAUCUUGAAAAUUUUUAUUCUCAUCUUCCUUUAUAAAUUAGAAAAUAGAGCAUGGAUAGAGAAUUUUCUUUCUAAUACAUGUAUUUCCAAUACCCUUCUUUAGAAACAGUGAAGAUGAAGUGCAUGUAUUUUACCACUGAAUUUUUUUUUACUGUGAAUGCUGCUCCUUGUAGGACGUACCAAAUGUAUCUACUUUGAAUGAAAAAUUGGGAAAUAAAAUUCUAUUCUGAUCUUUUAUAUUCAGAUUUAUUAUCUGUGCCUAUUUUUUACCAGUACACUUAGAUCAAAACGUGUAACACACAUUUAUUUAGUUUAGGGUAUUGGAGAUGACAAGACCAGGUCUUAGUAUUUAUUGAAUGAAUAUUUUAUUUUUUUAAAAUGUAUAUAUAUAUAUAUAUGCAUGUACAUGUGUUAAGUUUUGCUAGACCACGAAUCUUUGUAUGUGUUUAAUUGUUUCCAACCUUUUGUCAGUAUUAGAGAAAAUAUCUGUGUAUUUAAACAUUUUGUUACAUUAUGCAUAUAAAAAGUUAUAUUUAUGUAUACAACACCAGAUUUUUAUAGAUAUUGUUUACACUAAGUACACAGAGUAGAGUUGUAACAUUGUUUGUCGCAACAAGACCCUUUUAUAAAUAUAUUGAGGUAAUCUCAGAAAGUGCUAAUUUAUGGAUUGACUAUUCCAUAUCUAACUUUUAAGGGAAUUUUAUUUGCCAUAUAUAUCCUAAGCAACACAAACUAAUUUUUUUUUCUCAAUCCUUUUCUGAAUAAAAAAUUUUGGGCAGGAAGGAUUUAUUUCCCUGCAUGACAUUAACAACG
This 859-nucleotide long non-coding RNA is filed under the name Mytilus galloprovincialis (Mediterranean mussel). Lineage: Eukaryota; Metazoa; Mollusca; Bivalvia; Mytilida; Mytilidae. The record is from RNAcentral.